RNAcentral lists this transfer RNA (74 nucleotides) under Oculatella sp. LEGE 06141. It matches the Rfam family "tRNA". From Rfam's summary of the family: Transfer RNA (tRNA) molecules are approximately 80 nucleotides in length. RNAcentral also lists the same sequence under 18 other names. Lineage: Bacteria; Bacillati; Cyanobacteriota; Cyanophyceae; Oculatellales; Oculatellaceae. The record is from Rfam by way of RNAcentral.
GGGGCUGUAGCUCAGCAGGAUAGAGCAACCGCCUCCUAAGCGGUAGGUCGCGCGUUCGAAUCGCGCCAGUCCCG